AACGAACGCUGGCGGCAUGCCUAACACAUGCAAGUCGAACGAAGGCUUCGGCCUUAGUGGCGCACGGGUGCGUAACGCGUGGGAAUCUGCCCCUCGGUUCGGAAUAACAGUUAGAAAUGACUGCUAAUACCGGAUGAUGACUUCGGUCCAAAGAUUUAUCGCCGAGGGAUGAGCCCGCGUAAGAUUAGGUAGUUGGUGGGGUAAAGGCCUACCAAGCCGACGAUCUUUAGCUGGUCUGAGAGGAUGAUCAGCCACGCUGGGACUGAGACACGGCCCAGACUCCUACGGGAGGCAGCAGUGGGGAAUAUUGGACAAUGGGCGAAAGCCUGAUCCAGCGAUGCCGCGUGAGUGAUGAAGGCCUUAGGGUUGUAAAGCUCUUUUACCAGGGAUGAUAAUGACAGUACCUGGAGAAUAAGCUCCGGCUAACUCCGUGCCAGCAGCCGCCGUAA
RNAcentral lists this ribosomal RNA (449 nucleotides) under uncultured bacterium. Its description in RNAcentral is "partial 16S ribosomal RNA". It matches the Rfam family "Bacterial small subunit ribosomal RNA", at positions 29 to 523 of the family's 1533-position model. The record is from RNAcentral.